This is a long non-coding RNA of Oryza brachyantha (malo sina), 719 nucleotides long. RefSeq lists it as uncharacterized. The record is from RefSeq and is a predicted model, not a curated record. The transcript has 4 exons. Lineage: Eukaryota; Viridiplantae; Streptophyta; Magnoliopsida; Poales; Poaceae.
AACCAGUGAAACCACCAAACCCGUCCCAAUCCACGCUCUCACGCUCGAAACCCACACACGACGACGGCGACGGCGGCGGCGGCGCGGCGCGCGCGGCAACGACGGAGCUCCGUCCUCCUCACCAUCCUUCUCUCUGCCUCUUCCGCCGCGGAUGCGUCCUUCCUCUGCACGCACAAGGUGUGCUUUCUGAUUCCGUUCUGAGCGCACAAGGUGCGCUUUCGAUUCCGUUCUAAGAUGGACAAUCAAGUAGCACCACAAUGCUAUUUUAAUGUGGAGGCUGAGCACACUAUGACUGUGCCGAUGAAAAUAUCUGAAACUCAAACCAGGGUAACAAAUCCUGUUGAGGUGAACAGCACAACCAGAAUUAGCUCAACGACUAUUGGGGGCCAAACACCUUAUGUAAUUGAGAAAUUACUAGGCUGGUGGGUGGAGGCACAAGUUAACUAGCUUGCUAACAUUAUAUUGCUACUCUAGGAUCUCUUUUCAUCAGGCGUGGGCUUAACAUGACAAAAUUUUGGAUUAUAAUGCUGUUUAAUUAGACGAAAGAUGCGUGAAAUAGAUCAGAUCAAUUCAUAGUCUGACCAUUUCAUUUUGUCCUUGUCGAUGUAUAAAGUGAUUUAAAUCUUAUAUUUGUGUAUUCACGUACAUUCACUGAAAAUGGUAUGUGCGUUACUGGUGUCUAUAGUUACGUUGUUAGCAGCAACUGAAAUUGAUAGGUA